This is a long non-coding RNA of Silurus meridionalis, 378 nucleotides long. RefSeq lists it as uncharacterized. The record is from RefSeq and is a predicted model, not a curated record. The transcript is spliced from 3 exons. Lineage: Eukaryota; Metazoa; Chordata; Actinopteri; Siluriformes; Siluridae.
CUUCACUCACUACCACUGGAGCACGAUAACCUGACCUCUCUGUCACGAUAUGUGCUGGUGAACAUAGAGAGCGUUUGAGCAGCUUGGACACGAAGUUGGAGCAGUGUGUCGGGGAGGAAACAUGGAAACUGUGCAGCACACACAGAGUCAUACUUUGACCUGAGCAUGUCUCUACACUGUAUUCAAUCGGCUCCAUUUGGAGGUUCACAAAUGCAAGAGACAGAGAAGGCAACCAUGCAUUGAGAACCGGCAACCGUGCUUUGAGAGCGGGACCAUGAUCGGAGGGCAGUACAGCCAGAAGUGUACCGUAUUUUUAGGACUAUAAGCCACCACUUUUUUCCCACGUUUUUAACCCCGCGGCUUAAAUAACGAAGCCGC